GACGCCUCGUACAACGCGGAUGUGGCGCGCCGCCUGCUGGGCGGCGAGACCGGCCCGGUGCGGGACGCGGUGCUGCUCAACUCGGCGGCGGCGCUG
Molecule: transfer RNA, 96 nt
Filed under: Streptomyces chrestomyceticus JCM 4735
Lineage: Bacteria; Bacillati; Actinomycetota; Actinomycetes; Kitasatosporales; Streptomycetaceae
Description: tRNA-Ser
Source: RNAcentral